RNAcentral lists this ribosomal RNA (418 nucleotides) under uncultured bacterium. Its description in RNAcentral is "bacterial SSU rRNA". It matches the Rfam family "Bacterial small subunit ribosomal RNA", at positions 1003 to 1414 of the family's 1533-position model. The record is from RNAcentral.
GAAACAGGGAGGUGCCCUCGAAAGAGGGAGCCAGGAGACAGGUGCUGCAUGGCUGUCGUCAGCUCGUGUCGUGAGAUGUUGGGUUAAGUCCCGCAACGAGCGCAACCCUUGUCCGCUGUUGCCAUCAGGUUAAGCUGGGCACUCUGCGGAGACUGCCGGUGAUAAACCGGAGGAAGGUGGGGAUGACGUCAAGUCAGCAUGGCCUUUAUGUCUGGGGCUACACACGUGCUACAAUGGCAGGUACAAACCGUCGCGAUGCCGCGAGGUGGAGCUAAUCGGAGAAAACCUGUCUCAGUUCGGAUUGCAGGCUGCAACUCGCCUGCAUGAAGUUGGAAUCGCUAGUAAUCGCGGAUCAGCACGCCGCGGUGAAUACGUUCCCGGGCCUUGUACACACCGCCCGUCACAUCACGAAAGCCGG